CCUACGGGAGGCAGCAGUGGGGAAUAUUGGACAAUGGGCGCAAGCCUGAUCCAGCCAUGCCGCGUGUGUGAAGAAGGCCUUCGGGUUGUAAAGCACUUUUGUUGGGGAAGAAAAGCACUCAAUUAAUACCUGGGUGUUCUGACGGUACCCAAAGAAUAAGCACCGGCUAACUUCGUGCCAGCAGCCGCGGUAAU
RNAcentral lists this ribosomal RNA (194 nucleotides) under uncultured bacterium. RNAcentral describes it as "partial 16S ribosomal RNA". It matches the Rfam family "Bacterial small subunit ribosomal RNA", at positions 338 to 524 of the family's 1533-position model. The record is from RNAcentral.